GGCGUGCGAUACAGGGUGACAGCCCCGUACACAAAAAUGCACAUAUUGUGAGCUCGAUGAGUAGGGCGGGACACGUGGUAUCCUGUCUGAAUAUGGGGGGACCAUCCUCCAAGGCUAAAUACUCCUGACUGACCGAUAGUGAACCAGUACCGUGAGGGAAAGGCGAAAAGAACCCCGGCGAGGGGAGUGAAAAAGAACCUGAAACCGUGUACGUACAAGCAGUGGGAGCACGCUUAGGCGUGUGACUGCGUACCUUUUGUAUAAUGGGUCAGCGACUUAUAUUCUGUAGCAAGGUUAACCGAAUAGGGGAGCCGAAGGGAAACCGAGUCUUAACUGGGCGUUAAGUUGCAGGGUAUAGACCCGAAACCCGGUGAUCUAGCCAUGGGCAGGUUGAAGGUUGGGUAACACUAACUGGAGGACCGAACCGACUAAUGUUGAAAAAUUAGCGGAUGACUUGUGGCUGGGGGUGAAAGGCCAAUCAAACCGGGAGAUAGCUGGUUCUCCCCGAAAGCUAUUUAGGUAGCGCCUCGUGAAUUCAUCUCCGGGGGUAGAGCACUGUUUCGGCAAGGGGGUCAUCCCGACUUACCAACCCGAUGCAAACUGCGAAUACCGGAGAAUGUUAUCACGGGAGACACACGGCGGGUGCUAACGUCCGUCGUGAAGAGGGAAACAACCCAGACCGCCAGCUAAGGUCCCAAAGUCAUGGUUAAGUGGGAAACGAUGUGGGAAGGCCCAGACAGCCAGGAUGUUGGCUUAGAAGCAGCCAUCAUUUAAAGAAAGCGUAAUAGCUCACUGGUCGAGUCGGCCUGCGCGGAAGAUGUAACGGGGCUAAACCAUGCACCGAAGCUGCGGCAGCGACGCUGAUGCGUUGUUGGGUAGGGGAGCGUUCUGUAAGCCUGCGAAGGUGUGCUGUGAGGCAUGCUGGAGGUAUCAGAAGUGCGAAUGCUGACAUAAGUAACGAUAAAGCGGGUGAAAAGCCCGCUCGCCGGAAGACCAAGGGUUCCUGUCCAACGUUAAUCGGGGC
RNAcentral lists this ribosomal RNA (1024 nucleotides) under Escherichia coli. RNAcentral's name for it is "partial 23S ribosomal RNA". It matches the Rfam family "Bacterial large subunit ribosomal RNA", at positions 349 to 1375 of the family's 2925-position model. The record is from RNAcentral. Lineage: Bacteria; Pseudomonadati; Pseudomonadota; Gammaproteobacteria; Enterobacterales; Enterobacteriaceae.